This is a non-coding RNA of Treponema bryantii, 73 nucleotides long. Lineage: Bacteria; Pseudomonadati; Spirochaetota; Spirochaetia; Treponematales; Treponemataceae. The record is from Rfam.
GCUGCCUUAGCUCAGCUGGUAGAGCACGUGAUUUGUAAUCUCGGGGUCGUGGGUCCAAAUCCUACAGGCAGCU